UGCAGCCACAACACAUUGAACACCUUUUCACGUACAAUCACCGGAGUUAAGCAACGUCGAGCCUUAUCAGUACUUAGAUGAGUGACCGCUUGCGAAUACCAGGUACUGUAUU
Non-coding RNA from Acanthosepion pharaonis, 112 nucleotides. The record is from the annotation of a GenBank genome assembly. Lineage: Eukaryota; Metazoa; Mollusca; Cephalopoda; Sepiida; Sepiidae.